This 1274-nucleotide long non-coding RNA is filed under the name Macaca mulatta (Rhesus monkey). Its description in RNAcentral is "lncRNA (ENSMMUG00000050888.1)". The record is from RNAcentral. Lineage: Eukaryota; Metazoa; Chordata; Mammalia; Primates; Cercopithecidae.
AUGGACAUCCAGGACCAGAGAUGCCCUUGCUCUGAAGCAAGCGCCCAUAUCGCACUGCCUCAAACUGUAGGGUGCUGGGCUGGCUCACGUUUCAUCUCUCAGGUUGCUGUUCAAGUUGCAACCAGAGAAUUUCAUGUGCUGAGCUGGGAAACAGGACACCAGGGUCCUUCCCUCCAUUCUCCCCCCACCUCUGGGAAACUGCCACGCCCAGCCACUAAGACCAAGACUUCGUGCACUAAGACUGUGUUGACAGAUAAGCAGAAAAGUACAGCACUGGUUUCCUCUAGGGUUCUGCCCUGUGUUUCAGUUAAGAGAAAUUUCACACAUACACACAGACACAGACACACACUCUCUCUCUCUCUCUCUCUCUUUCUAAGAAAUGAAUAUAGAGUAGCUAAAACCAGACAAGUUCUGAAUCACUGGGGCUUGAGACCCAAGCCUGAGACUGUGUUCCUAAUUGGCCACAUUGACAGCAGACACCCAGCUCCUCUGUCCCCCUCUCUUGGAUCCUGCACAGACGCAGCCAAACUCUUCCCCACCAAACCAGCUUUAGACUCUCCUGCGCCUGGCAAUCCAUGCCCUCUUCUUCGCCCCUCUCCUGAAGAUUCCUGUGACUAUGCGUCUGGAAGUGCUUUCUGCCAAGACACCACUUUCCUCCUCUGAUCUCAUUUGGUUUGUCUGACCCUUGGCUGGUUCUAAUCCUUGGUGAGUUCCUUCACAUACUGCUCUAAGCUUGCCCUUUGACUACAUUACCUCGAGCCUUUCUACAAGGCUCCAGCUCUGUUUCCUGGCCAGAAGUAGAAAUUCCCUCUCCCGCUGUGCAGAAGCCCCACUCACAGUAUUCGGCUUCAUUGCUUCUGUGUCUCUCCAGCUCCAUUGCUUGAAGAGCAGAGAUAACAAGGUGUAGGUUCUGUGUAUGCAUCCAUGUUCUCAUUGAUGGCUCAGCCAGCAUCUCUAAAGUUUUUUUAAUGAUUAAGGGCCUUUGAGUUCCCCUGUGGCACUUCCUUGGAGGUAAGGGCUUGGGUGAAGUUGUUCUUUUGGCUGUUGAUCCCAGGGGAGCACAGGGAAUAUGAAACAGGGAAGGGAGGAAAGCUAAUAAAGAAUGUGUUAAGAAGCUUUGGGCAAGCAGGGCUUACUCCAGCAGGAAACCCUUAGGAGACUGCAGAACAUUCCUCAGAAUGAGGGCAAGGACGUUGGGUUAUUUAUCCAGCCAAGCCUUUCCCUCUUUGGCCAAGGGUUAUUCCUUGGGCAAUAAUUCCCUGGCACUUGCAGAC